Molecule: ribosomal RNA, 213 nt
Filed under: uncultured bacterium
Lineage: Bacteria
Description: partial 16S ribosomal RNA
Rfam family: Bacterial small subunit ribosomal RNA
Source: RNAcentral
GAUCAUGGCUCAGGAUGAACGCUAGCGACAGGCUUAACACAUGCAAGUCGAGGGGCAGCAUGAACUUAGCUUGCUAAGUUUGAUGGCGACCGGCGCACGGGUGAGUAACGCGUAUGCAACUUGCCUAUCAGAGGAGAAUAGCUCAUCGAAAGAUGAAUUAAUGCUCCAUGAAACAGGGGUCCCGGCAUGGGAAUAUUGUUAAGUAAUUCAUCG